UGAGGGGAUAUUGGGCAAUGGGGAAGCCCUGACCCAGCGACGCCGCGUGAGGGAAGACGGUCUUCGGAUUGUAAACCUCUGUCUUUGGGGACGAAAAAGGGACGGUACCCAAGGAGGAAGCUCCGGCUAACUACGUGCCAGCAGCCGCGGUAAUACGUAGGGAGCGAGCGUUGUCCGGAAUUACUGGGUGUAAAGGGAGCGUAGGCGGGAUUGCAAGUUGGAUGUGAAAACUGCGGGCUCAACCCGGAGAGUGCAUUCAAAACUGCGAUUCUUGAGUGAAGUAGAGGCAAGCGGAAUUCCUAGUGUAGCGGUGAAAUGCGUAGAUAUUAGGAGGAACACCAGUGGCGAAGGCGGCUUGCUGGGCUUUUACUGACGCUGAGGCUCGAAAGUGUGGGGAGCAAACAGGAUUAGAUACC
This 416-nucleotide ribosomal RNA is filed under the name uncultured bacterium. RNAcentral's name for it is "bacterial SSU rRNA". It matches the Rfam family "Bacterial small subunit ribosomal RNA", at positions 354 to 786 of the family's 1533-position model. The record is from RNAcentral.